RNAcentral lists this ribosomal RNA (468 nucleotides) under uncultured bacterium. Its description in RNAcentral is "partial 16S ribosomal RNA". It matches the Rfam family "Bacterial small subunit ribosomal RNA", at positions 28 to 507 of the family's 1533-position model. The record is from RNAcentral.
GACGAACGCUGGCGGCGUGCUUAACACAUGCAAGUCGAACGGAAAGGCCCUGCUUUUGUGAGGUGCUCGAGUGGCGAACGGGUGAGUAACACGUGAGUAACCUGCCCUUGACUUUGGGAUAACUUCAGGAAACUGGGGCUAAUACCGGAUAGGAGCUCCUGCUGCAUGGUGGGGGUUGGAAAGUUUCGGCGGUUGGGGAUGGACUCGCGGCUUAUCAGCUUGUUGGUGGGGUAGUGGCUUACCAAGGCUUUGACGGGUAGCCGGCCUGAGAGGGUGACCGGCCACAUUGGGACUGCGAUACGGCCCAGACUCCUACGGGAGGCAGCAGUGGGGAAUAUUGCACAAUGGGCGGAAGCCUGAUGCAGCAACGCCGCGUGCGGGAUGACGGCCUUCGGGUUGUAAACCGCUUUCGCCUGUGACGAAGCGUGAGUGACGGUAAUGGGUAAAGAAGCACCGGCUAACUACGUG